Molecule: small nuclear RNA, 119 nt
Organism: Hippoglossus stenolepis (Pacific halibut)
Lineage: Eukaryota; Metazoa; Chordata; Actinopteri; Pleuronectiformes; Pleuronectidae
Product: U5 spliceosomal RNA
Exons: 1
Source: RefSeq, a predicted model, not a curated record
UGACUCUGGUUUCUCUUCAUAACGCACAAGUCUUUCGCCAGCAUACUACUAAAGACUUCCCGUGGGGGAGGAACAAACAUGAGUUAGAUAUAUUUUUGGCAGGCUUUGCUGUAUGGCUG